This 112-nucleotide ribosomal RNA is filed under the name uncultured eukaryote. RNAcentral describes it as "partial small subunit ribosomal RNA". It matches the Rfam family "Eukaryotic small subunit ribosomal RNA", at positions 881 to 990 of the family's 1831-position model. The record is from RNAcentral.
GUUGGGGGCAUUAGUACUUAACUGUCAGUAAGGUGGAAUUCUCAGAUUUGUUAAAGACUGACUUAUGCGAAAGCAUUUGCCAAGGAUGUUUUCAUUAAUCAAGAACGAAAGU